GACGAACGCUGGCGGCGUGCUUAACACAUGCAAGUCGAACGGAAAGGCCCUGCUUUUGUGGGGUGCUCGAGUGGCGAACGGGUGAGUAACACGUGAGUAACCUGCCCUUGACUUUGGGAUAACUUCAGGAAACUGGGGCUAAUACCGGAUAGGAGCUCCUGCUGCAUGGUGGGGGUUGGAAAGUUUCGGCGGUUGGGGAUGGACUCGCGGCUUAUCAGCUUGUUGGUGGGGUAGUGGCUUACCAAGGCUUUGACGGGUAGCCGGCCUGAGAGGGUGACCGGACCCUUUGGGAAGAGGAUGCGCCCCCGACCCCAGUGGGGGACAGAGGUGGGGAGUCUUAACAAGUGGGCGGAAACGUAAUGCAACAACACCGGGUGGGGAUUGACGCACUUCGGUUUGAAAACCGCUUCCGCCUGUGACGGGGAUUGGGUUGAGGUAUGGGAUAAAAAGACCCCGGCUAACUACGUC
This 468-nucleotide ribosomal RNA is filed under the name uncultured bacterium. RNAcentral's name for it is "partial 16S ribosomal RNA". It matches the Rfam family "Bacterial small subunit ribosomal RNA", at positions 28 to 507 of the family's 1533-position model. The record is from RNAcentral.